This 329-nucleotide ribosomal RNA is filed under the name uncultured bacterium. RNAcentral describes it as "bacterial SSU rRNA". It matches the Rfam family "Bacterial small subunit ribosomal RNA", at positions 335 to 650 of the family's 1533-position model. The record is from RNAcentral.
ACUCCUACGGGAGGCAGCAGUGGGGAAUAUUGCACAAUGGGCGCAAGCCUGAUGCAGCCAUGCCGCGUGUAUGAAGAAGGCCUUCGGGUUGUAAAGUACUUUCAGCAGUGAGGAAGGGCGGUGACGUUAUUAAGCGUGGCCUCGUUUGACGUUAGCUGCAGAAGAAGCACCGGCUAACUCCGUGCCAGCAGCCGCGGUAAUACGGAGGGUGCGAGCGUUAAUCGGAAUUACUGGGCGUAAAGCGCAUGCAGGUGGUUUGUUAAGUCAGAUGUGAAAGCCCGGGGCUUAACCUCGGAAUAUGACAUUUGAAACUGGCAGACUAGAGUACU